This 318-nucleotide ribosomal RNA is filed under the name uncultured bacterium. RNAcentral describes it as "bacterial SSU rRNA". It matches the Rfam family "Bacterial small subunit ribosomal RNA", at positions 37 to 334 of the family's 1533-position model. The record is from RNAcentral.
GAUCGAACGGCGUAGCUACAGGCUUAACACAUGCAAGUCGAGGGGCGAGCGACAAGGUGUAGCAAUACACGGGUGGCGACCGGCGCACGGGUGCGUAACGCGUAUCCAACCUUCCCGAUACUCUUGGAUAGCCUUCCGAAAGGGAGAUUAAUACAAGAUGGUGUUUCACUUUCGCAUGUUAUUGAAACUAAAGAUUUAUCGGUAUCGGAUGGGGAUGCGUGACAUUAGGCAGUUGGCGGGGUAACGGCCCACCAAACCGACGAUGGAUAGGGGUUCUGAGAGGAAGGUCCCCCACAUUGGUACUGAGACACGGACCAA